GCUCCAGUGUCUCUACACCGCGAAUUCGAGUUCCAUCUGUCCGAAGGAAGUGAUCCAUGCACUGAUCUAUCCAGAUCAAUCACCAUCUCCAUGAUGAUCCUUUGAUCAUGAGCAAUUUAGGAAUUAACCAUUAAUGACACAUGUCUCAAAUUCUCAAUUCUUUGAGAAUAUGUGUUAUCAUUUUGUUAAUCUCUUGGAUGAUUCAUGGAUACAUAAAUAUAAAUGAUAAUAUAACUGUCCAAUAAGUAUAAAAUCAUAUCUUAGAGAUAUGAAAUGUGUCAACCA
Molecule: long non-coding RNA, 285 nt
Filed under: Elaeis guineensis (African oil palm)
Lineage: Eukaryota; Viridiplantae; Streptophyta; Magnoliopsida; Arecales; Arecaceae
Description: long non-coding RNA (EGUI_LNC023824)
Source: RNAcentral